This 423-nucleotide ribosomal RNA is filed under the name uncultured bacterium. RNAcentral describes it as "bacterial SSU rRNA". It matches the Rfam family "Bacterial small subunit ribosomal RNA", at positions 361 to 776 of the family's 1533-position model. The record is from RNAcentral.
AUUUUCGUCAAUGGGCGCAAGCCUGAACGAGCAAUGCCGCGUGAACGAGGAAGGUCUUCGGAUCGAAAAGUUCUUCUGAAGGGGAAAAAGAGAGGAGAGAGGAAAUGAACUCCGAUUGAUAUUACCCAUCGAAGAAGUCACGGCUAACUACGUGCCAGCAGCCGCGGUAAUACGUAGGUGGCGAGCGUUAUCCGGAAUGAUUGGGCGUAAAGGGUGCGUAGGCGGCCUGCUAAGUCUGGAGUGAAAGGUACCGGCUCAACCGGUACAGGCUCUGGAAACUGGCGGGCUAGAGAGCAGGAGAGGGCGGUGGAACUCCAUGUGUAGCGGUAAAAUGCGUAGAUAUAUGGAAGAACACCAGUGGCGAAGGCGGCCGCCUGGCCUGUUGACUGACGCUGAGGCACGAAAGCGUGGGGAGCAAAUAGG